RNAcentral lists this long non-coding RNA (1286 nucleotides) under Sus scrofa (pig). RNAcentral describes it as "lncRNA (ENSSSCG00005038824.1)". Lineage: Eukaryota; Metazoa; Chordata; Mammalia; Artiodactyla; Suidae. The record is from RNAcentral.
UCAGUCCCCUCUGAUCGCAUCCCGUUUUCCUAGUUCCCCGACUGUCCUGGGCACGAGGGGAGCCGUGCAUGGGGAGCCCUGCCAUCCGGUCCUCUCACCUGCCACUGGCCGCCCCUGGGGUCCCCUGGCUUGCACUCCUCAACACUCCUGUGUGCAGCCGUGCAGCCUUGUCAAGGCCAGAGAGCCCGUGUGCCGCUUGUCCCCAUGAGAUCUUUAUCUUAGAAACUGGUCUUCGAGUCUCUUUCCGAAUCAACAGGAAGCCCUGAAGAGAGGCCAUCUUGCUAAUGGGAAAUGAACCUCGGUGCUUUUGGUGACCUCUCGCUGGUGGCCCCCGACCCCGCGUGUGUGGCAGGGUCCACCUGUGAGCAGGGCCAGCUGAGGGCCUCUGGCUGGGACGUGCCCCCUCUAAGCCUUGGGCUGCCCUUACCUGUGCGUGGGGCCUCGUGGUGAGCGGCUCUUCCAGCUCCUGUGCCAGCAGGUGGAACGAAGAAGAAAGGCAUCUUAAGAAACACAUCUCUUGGCAGUUCCACAAAGUCCUGUUCAAAUCAAGCCAAUAUUUAUAUAUAUAUUUUAAGCCAAUCUCUCUUUUUUAUUUUGUGGUUAUGAAAAUAGGGACAAAGGGAUUCCCCAGGAUGGAAGGGGAACCUAGUGUUUCUUUUUUUGUGGCUGUGAGGUGCACUCAGUGGGGCUUCAGGAGAAAGGAGGCAGGUACCUUGACGACCCUUGGACAGACUGUGGAAGCUGGGCAGAGAAGCUGCUGGGAGGAGCAGGAUGGGGUGGGAAUCAGAACCUGCUUUUCACCUCAGGGCCUCACCUAACAUGUGCUCCAUGGUGGGACUUCUCCACGGGCCCAGGCUGGUGGGGGAGGUGAAUUAACCAGGCAGCCCCCCUUUGCCCCUGGAAAAUCCACACUGUUCUCUCUGCACUAUGAACUCCUCCAGGAGAAAAUUAUUUAAGUCUAACAUAUUGUUGGUUUUGUGACAAUGGUCAUUGCACAUUAUUUUUGUUGCUGUCGUUGGGUUGUUGCUAUUGUUAUUUAUUGCCGUUGGAGUUGGCCUCUGCUGGAGUCUCCACGGGAGCUGGCAGCCUGACUGGCUCCCUCUCCACUGGACUCUUCCUCCAGAAGUGCUGGCCACCUCGCAGGGGCUGUCAGGAACUCCUCGCUGUUUAAAUAUUUAUUUAUUGUUGACACAGGAGCUGGUUUCCUAGAUACGAAUGGUGUACUCAACCCUCCUUUUCCUGUUUUAGCAUGUGAUUUUAUUGUGAAAUAAAAAUAAAACCCAAAU